GAUGAACGCUGGCGGCGUGCCUAACACACGCAAGUCGAGCGAUCUUCUUCGGAAGAGAGCGGCGGACGGGUGAGUAACGCGUGGGUAACCUGCCCUGUACACACGGAUAACAUACCGAAAGGUAUGCUAAUACGAGAUAAUAUACUUUUAUCGCAUGGUAGAAGUAUCAAAGCCUUUGCGGUACAGGAUGGACCCGCGUCUGAUUAGCUAGUUGGUAAGGUAACGGCUUACCAAGGCGACGAUCAGUAGCCGACCUGAGAGGGUGAUCGGCCACAUUGGAACUGAGACACGGUCCAAACUCCUACGGGAGGCAGCAGUGGGGAAUAUUGCACAAUGGGCGAAAGCCUGAUGCAGCAACGCCGCGUGAGCGAUGAAGGCCUUCGGGUCGUAAAGCUCUGUCCUCAAGGAAGAUAAUGACGGUACUUGAGGAGGAAGCCCCGGCUAACUACGUGCCAGCCGCCGCGGUAA
This 468-nucleotide ribosomal RNA is filed under the name uncultured bacterium. RNAcentral's name for it is "partial 16S ribosomal RNA". It matches the Rfam family "Bacterial small subunit ribosomal RNA", at positions 28 to 523 of the family's 1533-position model. The record is from RNAcentral.